This 228-nucleotide long non-coding RNA is filed under the name Lathyrus oleraceus (garden pea). Its description in RNAcentral is "Pisum sativum (pea) long non-coding RNA (PSAT_LNC024679)". Lineage: Eukaryota; Viridiplantae; Streptophyta; Magnoliopsida; Fabales; Fabaceae. The record is from RNAcentral.
UGACUUCUGUUUUAUUUUAAUUAAUUCGUGUGUCAAUUUUCAUUGUUUUUAAUAUCUUUUUGGGGGAAGAUGAUGUCCUGACCCCACCUUAUUUAUUUUAAUUUUUCAUUAUUUUCUUGAUUAAUUUACUAUUUAUUCUUGAUUUAUUUCUAACCUAGUCUUAUUAAUUGACUUUUUGUUUGACCUAUGUUUUGUUUUAAUUAAUUCACGUGCCAAUUUUCAUUAUUU